UUAUAACUGGAGGAAGGUGGGGAUGACGUCAAGUCAUCAUGGCCCUUACGACCAGGGCUACACACGUGCUACAAUGGCAUAUACAAAGAGAAGCGACCUCGCGAGAGCAAGCGGACCUCAUAAAGUAUGUCGUAGUCCGGAUUGGAGUCUGCAACUCGACUCCAUGAAGUCGGAAUCGCUAGUAAUCGUAGAUCAGAAUGCUACGGUGAAUACGUUCCCGGGCCUUGUACACACCGCCCGUCACACCAUGGGAGUGGGUUGCAAAAGAAGUAGGUAGCUUACCCUUCGGGAGGCGACGCCUUCACGCACUGUGUGAUUACAUGACUGGGGUGAAGUCGACAAGUGUCG
RNAcentral lists this ribosomal RNA (348 nucleotides) under bacterium. Its description in RNAcentral is "bacterial SSU rRNA". It matches the Rfam family "Bacterial small subunit ribosomal RNA", at positions 1157 to 1500 of the family's 1533-position model. The record is from RNAcentral.